AUUCACUAGUGAUUCAUCUCUGGCGAUCAUACCGGAGCGCGCCUCUUAUCAAGGCAUGUGCGCCAGGCUCAAGCACAUCCACUUUCGUAUUCGUUGCAUUCAGCGGGACGCUGACUGGAAUGUCUUCACCGUCGGCGUCCAGACGGAACAAAGCCACCUGCUCUGCUCCGUCCGAUACUGAGAAUACUCUCGGCAUACCGACGAUUUUCCCCUCUGCCACUGCCAGAUUCAUUUCCCGCCUCCCAAUUUCAAACACCCAGACAGAAGUGCUUGAAGUUGCGGGUUCCGAGAAAUCAGCGCCGCAUUCUCCGCAUCCUGCACACACCGCCCGUCAAUCGAAUUCCCGCGGCC
RNAcentral lists this ribosomal RNA (351 nucleotides) under uncultured bacterium. Its description in RNAcentral is "partial 16S ribosomal RNA". The record is from RNAcentral.